RNAcentral lists this ribosomal RNA (1329 nucleotides) under metagenome. RNAcentral describes it as "bacterial SSU rRNA". It matches the Rfam family "Eukaryotic small subunit ribosomal RNA", at positions 6 to 1192 of the family's 1831-position model. The record is from RNAcentral.
GGUUGAUCCUGCCAGUACUAUAUGCUUGUUUCAAAGGCUAAGCCAUGCAAGUGUUAGUUUAAAUGAUUUUAUACAGUAAAACUGCGAAUGGCUCAUUAUAUCAGUUAUAGUUUAUUUGAUGGAUAGUAAUUUCGGUUACACUUACAUGGAUAACUGUAGUAACAUAGAGCUAAUACAUGCAAUAAUACCUAACUUUUUGGAAGGGUAUGCACUUAUUAGAUAUUUUAAACCAAUAGCUCCGUUAAAAGAGUUUUAAAAGGUGAUUCAUAAUAACUGAACAAAUCGCAUUAUUUUAUAUAGGCGAUGUAUCAUUCAAAUUUCUGCCCUAUCAUACUUGUAGUUAGUAUAGAGGACUAACUAGGUUUUUACGGGUAACGGGGAAUUAGGGUUCGAUUCCGGAGAAGGAGCAUGAGAAACGGCUACUAUUUCUAAGGAAAGCAGCAGGCGCGCAAAUUAUUCAAUGAAAAUAUAUUUUCGAAAUAGUGACAAAAAAUAACAAUAUAAUUAUAUUUUAUAAUUAUAAUUGGAAUGAGUACAAUUUAAACCCAUUAAUGAGUAACAAUUAGAGGGCAAGUCUGGUGCCAGCAGCCGCGGUAAUUCCAGCUCUAAUAGCGUAUAUUAAUAUUGUUGCAGUUAAAAAGCUCGUAGUUGAAUAUUGAAAUAUAUAAUUGAUGAUUAUAUUGAUUUAUAAUUAUUAUUAUUAUUUCUUCCUACUAAGAUUCGAUAUUGAUCUUAAUUGAUUGAUAUUAUAAUUCUCGGAUUGUUGAUUGGUUAUAAAGGCUCCAUAUUACAGUAUGAUUAUGUAAAAGUUUGAUUAUUGUAACAAUGGAUCAAGUUUUUAUAAUUUAUUAGAAUUUUAGUUCAUUUACUUUGAGAAAAUUAGAGUGUUCAAAUCAGUCUUUAGAGACUUUGUAUAUAAUUAGCAUGGGAUAAUAAAAUAGGAUUUAAUUAUUAUAUUGUUGGUUUAAAUAAUUAGAUAAUGAUUAAUAGGGAUAGUUGGGGGUAUUUAUAUUAGACGGUUAGCGGUGAAAUGCUCAGAUCCGUUUAAGAUAAACUAAAGCGAAAGCAUUUACCAAGGAUGUUUUCAUUAAUCAAGAACGAAAGUUAAGGGAUCGAAGACGAUCAGAUACCGUCGUAGUCUUAACUAUAAACUAUGCCGACCAGGGAUGUGAGAAGUUAAACAAUACAAUUGUAAUAGAUUGUAUUAUAUCCUCUUAUGCACCUUGUGAGAAAUCAUAAGUUAUUAGGUUCUGGGGGAAGUAUGGUCGCAAGGCUGAAACUUAAAGGAAUUGACGGAGGGGCACCACCAGGAGUGGAGCGUGCGGCUUA